CCUACGGGUGGCAGCAGUGGGGAAUAUUGCACAAUGGGGGAAACCCUGAUGCAGCGACGCCGCGUGAGUGAAGAAGUAUUUCGGUACGUAAAGCUCUAUCAGCAGGGAAGAAAAUGACGGUACCUGACUAAGAAGCCCCGGCUAACUACGUGCCAGCAGCCGCGGUAAUACGUAGGGGGCAAGCGUUAUCCGGAUUUACGGGGUGUAAAGGGAGCGGAGACGGCAGCGCAAGUCUGGAGUGAAAUCCCAUGGCUUAACCAUGGAACUGCUUUGGAAACUGGGCAGCUAGAGUGCAGGAGAGGUAAGCGGAAUGCCUAGUGUAGCGGUGAAAUGCGUAGAUAUUAGGAGGAACACCAGUGGCGAAGGCGGCUUACUGGACUGUAACUGACGUUGAGGCUCGAAAGCGUGGGGAGCAAACAGGAUUAGAUACCCGGGUAGUC
This 440-nucleotide ribosomal RNA is filed under the name uncultured bacterium. RNAcentral describes it as "partial 16S ribosomal RNA". It matches the Rfam family "Bacterial small subunit ribosomal RNA", at positions 338 to 795 of the family's 1533-position model. The record is from RNAcentral.